Non-coding RNA from Onthophagus taurus, 255 nucleotides. Lineage: Eukaryota; Metazoa; Arthropoda; Insecta; Coleoptera; Scarabaeidae. The record is from RefSeq and is a predicted model, not a curated record.
AGAUACAUGGAAGGUUCCAAGUGCUGCGGUUGGAACUAAGAAUUUCAAUUGAAAGAUUGCAGCCUCUAAUUGUCGCUACAGCGGUAAUACACAACAUGUGUAUUAAUAUGAAAGACGAUCUACCACCCAAUGAGGAGGAGAUUGAAGAAUGGGAUAAUCAUCUUCCGGCAGAGCGGGGCAACGAAGACAGAACACGUAGGAACGAAAUUAUUGAUUAUUUUGCAAAUUUACAAUAAAAUAAUUUGUUUUAAGAAA